UGGUGGAGCGAUUUGUCUGGUUAAUUUCGAUAACGAACGAGACUCUGGCCUAUUAAAUAGUUCGCCGAUUCCGAUCUGUCGGCGUUAACUUCUUAGAGGGACAAGUGGCUUUUAGCCACGCGAGAUUGAGCAAUAACA
RNAcentral lists this ribosomal RNA (138 nucleotides) under uncultured eukaryote. RNAcentral's name for it is "partial 18S ribosomal RNA". It matches the Rfam family "Eukaryotic small subunit ribosomal RNA", at positions 1299 to 1458 of the family's 1831-position model. The record is from RNAcentral.